This 386-nucleotide ribosomal RNA is filed under the name uncultured bacterium. RNAcentral describes it as "bacterial SSU rRNA". It matches the Rfam family "Bacterial small subunit ribosomal RNA", at positions 29 to 416 of the family's 1533-position model. The record is from RNAcentral.
AUUGAACGCUGGCGGAAUGCUUUACACAUGCAAGUCGAGCGGCAGCGCGGGGGCAACCCUGGCGGCGAGCGGCGAACGGGUGAGUAACAUAUCGGAACGUACCCAGUCGUGGGGGAUAACUAUCCGAAAGGAUAGCUAAUACCGCAUACGUCCUGAGGGAGAAAGCGGGGGAUCGCAAGACCUCGCGCGAUUGGAGCGGCCGAUAUCGGAUUAGCUAGUUGGUGGGGUAAAGGCUCACCAAGGCGACGAUCCGUAGCGGGUCUGAGAGGACGACCCGCCACACUGGAACUGAGACACGGUCCAGACUCCUACGGGAGGCAGCAGUGGGGAAUUUUGGACAAUGGGGGCAACCCUGAUCCAGCCAUGCCGCGUGAGUGAAGAAGGCC